UCACCACCGACGGCUCUCAUAAAGAUGGUCUUUACUUCAUUGGGAUCGAAUUUAGGAGGCAUCUUGGGUUGUGGCUGUGGGAUCAAGCAAGAGUGAUUCUGUGUGUCCAAAGGGAAGACCAAACAACAGUCACAACCCUACCCUAAAGAUUUAAGGAGAUGGUAGUUAAUUCUCAAAAUUUAAAUAGACUAAGUAAACAUGAAAUUUAGAGCUCAAUUUAUGUUCAAUUGACUACUUUGAUCUUCGGGUAACAUUUAAAAAAUCAAAUAUUUGGAAGAUAUUUGAAACGCAAGUUUUAUGUUUCCACUACAUAUGUAAAUAAGUCGUAAAUUGUACGCAGCCUCAAACCCAAAAUCGUAAGUCGUAGACACAGUUGAUUCUGAGGAGGUCAUUUUGUCCCCUUGAGACAUUGGAGAUAACCCAAGCACGGCCUCAUAAUAUUUAACGGCAUAGUGCUCUAAUCCAAUAAAAUGAUAUGCUUUUCCUAAAUUAUAAAGUGCCUCUUGCUUCUCUCCUAAACCUUCGUUAACCCGAAGAUCGUAAUACCUGUAUAAGAAUGUAAAUCCCUGAAGAAUUUGAUAAUGUCUAUUAUCUGACAGUCUCUGCAUUGCCCGAUGAAGGUAAGCCAAACCAAGUGAAAGAUUGGUAAUUGGACAAUCAGGAUUAAUUGCGAAAGCACGACUAUAGUAAUUAAUUGCAGGAAUCCAACUUCUAUUGCGAGCCAUAAUAUGACCAUAAAGUAAGACUAGCACAGGAUCAUAGGAUGUGGGAACGGUAGCCAAUCCAUCGUCGUUCUUUACCAGUGUAGCGGCUCCAGACACUAAGCUGUUGCUCAUUAACUGGUCCAUUAGCUUAAUAAGUCUAAGUAGAAAUUUUUGAUUUGCGCUAUCAACAAAAGCUCGCGAGCAUUCAUAUCCUUGACUUAAAACAGCUGAAAAAAGUCGGUAAGUGUCUUGCCGAAAUUGAAAAGUUGUGAAAACCCAACGCAAAGGAGUUAAUGCCCCUUGGGGAUCCCGUGCAUACAUGGAGCAUGCCAGCAUGCACCAACGUAAAUUCUGGCGUUUUAUGGUAUCUUGAUCAAACAGGAUUGCCCCCAUCGCUGUUGUCAGUACAUCAUAAGCUUGUUGGACAGAACCAACCUUUGUAAGUCUGAGAGAAAAUUCAACGAAUAAUUGAUACCACGCGUCGAUAGAGACGUUGCGAAAAUAGCCCGUUCUCAGUAUUGUAUCAAGAUCGAGAUCACCAUAUUUGGUUCUAGUAAGAGAAUCGUUUAGCCGAUUAAUCAUGCUAGUUAAUUGAUCAUUUAAGCUCGCAUACCGAGUACGUCGAGUCAGCAAUCCUGCUCUAGCUCUAGCUUUUUUCUCCGAUGGAAAGAAAGCUUUAAUACUCACAAACUCAUCGAUCAAUUCAGAAGCAAUUGCCAGCCAUUCAUUCAAACUUUCACUUACAUUUUCUUCCUUUUUGAGUGAUUGUCGCAGUAUAUCUAACUUAUGAAACCGUCUCUGAGUCUCUUCUGUCUUCCAAAUUGUAAACUGCCUAGCCUCUUCUUUAGACCUACUUAUCCUUGCUCUUUUUUCCCAUUUGUCUUGAGGUACUUUUUGAUUUCCAACGAAAAGUUGCGAACCGACGUUCUUUUCAUGGUCCUCAUUUUGGCUUUGCUCUCUUUCUAACUCAUUGAUGUUUCGUCUUUGUUCAAAUAUAUUCGUAACUAUUUCCAGUGCUGCAUCGCGGUUAUCCUGUAAUUCAUUAAUCUCUGCCAGCUUUAUCAAAGCAUUGGUAUUGCUAUUGUCAACGAUUAAAAUUGCCUCCAUACAUUGUUGAGCAUGUUCAUAUUCCUUAAGUUCCAAGUAGCAGACACCCAUGUUGUACCACAAUCCAAUGUUUUGAGCCGGCUCAUGGUUGCAUAUUAAUACAAAGUACUCCAAAGCUAAAUCUAAACGUUCAAUAUCCAUAUAAGCUUUCGCAAUAUCGUAAAGCAUUCCCCAAGCAUAAUCAGGAGGUAAAUUUUUAAUGACUGAGAAAUGCAACUCGGCCUCUGGAAGCUCCCCAGUUUUUAAUCUUGCAAUUCCAAGUUUUGUGCGAAAAAGAUGAGGAAGUAAAUAUGCCUCUUUAUUAGUAUGCUCUUCAGAUGCGUUAGGAAAUUCGCGUCUCCUCUCAUCCACAUCCCAUUCCCGGUCAUCAUCAAAUUCGUCCCAGAAAGACUCGGACUUACGGCCACGAAACCAUCGUACACCGCGAUUAAUUAAGCGGAUAAGAUUUGACCAUUGGUGGUCUAACAAUAAAAGUUCAGCAUAUAAGUUAAGAGUCGGUAAAUCGAAAAUGUCAUUUCCAAUAGGUGGAGCGGGGUAUUGAUAAAAAUAUUUCCAAGCAAUCUCGAACUGUUUUAAUAUUUCUCUUGGGGCAUGAAUUUUAAUGUAGAUCUCUGCUAGGUUUUUCAAUAUAGACGCGUUAUAUGGCGAAGAUUGAAGUAGGAAUUUAAAGCCUUCAGCUGCCUUUUUCAAGGAGCCAUGUUCCUUAUUUAGAACAGAUCUAUUCCAAAUGUAUUUUUUUAGUUCCGACUUAUUUGGAGGUUUCGCAGAGACGGCUCUGUUGUAACAAUAAUCUGCUUGAUCCCAAAACUCUAAGCUUUCGCUGAGUUUCGCACAGGUGAACCAAAGUUCAUGAUCUUUCGGCUUUAAAUGUGCAGCCGCCAUCCAAGCAAUUAAGCACUUUUCAAUAUUUACUCUUCCAUUACCCCUUUGACGAUGACAUUCACCAAGCAUUUUCCAAGCCGCAAUGACAUUAUUAUCAAUACGAACAAUCUCUUCAGCUAAUUUUUGGGCUUCGUCGAAGUUUCCUUCUUGCGCAAACAAAUGAUUCGCUAAACUCAACAUUUGUUGCACUUCCACCGAGGGAAGCAUAUCAGCUCGACUAACACGUCCUCGACCUUUAUGACCUUUACGGACUUUUCUAAAUCCAGCAACUGCCUUUAAAUUUUCUUCCCAUUCCUCGUUCGCAAUGUCGUCCUCGGUUCUUGAGGCUGUUUUACUAAAGUUUGAUUCAUCGUCACUGCCUUCAUAAUCUGACUCUUCGUCUGACCAAAGGCCCUCAGCUUGAAGGGCAGAGGUAUCUCCCAAAAAUUUUGCAUCAACUUCAGAUACAUUCCUAGCCUCAUCGACAAUUUCGCUUAUAUACCCGUUUAGAUCUUGCAUUUCAGCAUCAAAGUUGUCAGUUGUAUCAUUUUGCGUUUCAUUCAUAUUGGAAUCCACAUAGCUAUUUCCACCAUUUUGAAUCAUCCUUUAAGAUGCUCAAUCAUGCUUUCAAAUCGGUCUGUUCCUUUUGCCUACUUGAAGUUGGCUGUUUUCGCGUUGGCGUUGGUGAAGGCAAAGUUGAAGUAAGUCAUUAUAGAAGUACUCAAUAAACAAAGAGGUCAUGGGUACCACAUAUCUUGUUCUACAAUUGACUAAUUAAUAUGAAGUCAAUAAAUAUUAGUCCUUUUUUCCUGACACCAGUUAUUUUACUUGCAACAUUUUUGAAUUGCAAACUUGACAAUUUUGAUGUUGUCAAAAUACCUAAUAUCUGUAAGAAUUUGGAAGAUCCUAGUCAAUCAAAUAGUGUUUUUCACUUUUU
Schizosaccharomyces pombe (fission yeast) is the source of this 3609-nucleotide non-coding RNA. Lineage: Eukaryota; Fungi; Ascomycota; Schizosaccharomycetes; Schizosaccharomycetales; Schizosaccharomycetaceae. The record is from the annotation of a GenBank genome assembly.